UUGGUGCUUGCAUCAUGAUUUACAUUUGAGUGAGUGGCGAACUGGUGAGUAACACGUGGGAAACCUGCCCAGAAGCGGGGGAUAACACCUGGAAACAGAUGCUAAUACCGCAUAACAACUUGGACCGCAUGGUCCGAGUUUGAAAGAUGGCUUCGGCUAUCACUUUUGGAUGGUCCCGCGGCGUAUUAGCUAGAUGGUGAGGUAACGGCUCACCAUGGCAAUGAUACGUAGCCGACCUGAGAGGGUAAUCGGCCACAUUGGGACUGAGACACGGCCCAAACUCCUACGGGAGGCAGCAGUAGGGAAUCUUCCACAAUGGACGAAAGUCUGAUGGAGCAACGCCGCGUGAGUGAAGAAGGGUUUCGGCUCGUAAAACUCUGUUGUUAAAGAAGAACAUAUCUGAGAGUAACUGUUCAGGUAUUGACGGUAUUUAACCAGAAAGCCACGGCUAACUACGUGCCAGCAGCCGCGGUAAUACGUAGGUGGCAAGCGUUGUCCGGAUUUAUUGGGCGUAAAGCGAGCGCAGGCGGUUUUUUAAGUCUGAUGUGAAAGCCUUCGGCUCAACCGAAGAAGUGCAUCGGAAACUGGGAAACUUGAGUGCAGAAGAGGACAGUGGAACUCCAUGUGUAGCGGUGAAAUGCGUAGAUAUAUGGAAGAACACCAGUGGCGAAGGCGGCUGUCUGGUCUGUAACUGACGCUGAGGCUCGAAAGUAUGGGUAGCAAACAGGAUUAGAUACCCUGGUAGUCCAUACCGUAAACGAUGAAUGCUAAGUGUUGGAGGGUUUCCGCCCUUCAGUGCUGCAGCUAACGCAUUAAGCAUUCCGCCUGGGGGAGUACGGCCGCAAGGCUGAAACUCAAAGGAAUUGACGGGGGCCCGCACAAGCGGUGGAGCAUGUGGUUUAAUUCGAAGCUACGCGAAGAACCUUACCAGGUCUUGACAUACUAUGCAAAUCUAAGAGAUUAGACGUUCCCUUCGGGGACAUGGAUACAGGUGGGUGCAUGGUUGUCGUCAGCUCGUGUCCUGAAAAGUUUGGGGUUAAGUCCCGCAACGAGCGCAACCCUUAUUAUCAGUUGCCAGCAUUAAGUUGGGCACUCUGGUGAGACUGCCGGUGAAAACCCGAGGAAGAAGGGGGGGGAGGAAGCCAAAAACUUCAAGGCCCCUUAUAACCGGGGGUACACCCGGCUCCAAUGGAAGGGUGCACCCAAUUGUGGAACCCCCCCAAGAAAAGCUAAUUCUUUAAACAACUUUC
RNAcentral lists this ribosomal RNA (1250 nucleotides) under Lactiplantibacillus pentosus. Its description in RNAcentral is "bacterial SSU rRNA". It matches the Rfam family "Bacterial small subunit ribosomal RNA", at positions 73 to 1287 of the family's 1533-position model. Lineage: Bacteria; Bacillati; Bacillota; Bacilli; Lactobacillales; Lactobacillaceae. The record is from RNAcentral.